AACGGUCUAUACCUGCGGUACCUGCGGAGGGAUCAUUAAAAAGAUUGGCUUUGUAUUUAUUCGAAUAUGAAGCUAUUUAUCUGAACUUGUGGUAACAAUGAACUAUUUGAAUUGGGUUUAAUAAUGGUGCUUUUAAUUUAAAGGUAUCGGCCCAAAACAAUUUAUAAACGCUUCUUUUAUUUGACUGAAUUAUCAAGUAAAUAAUCCAAUGCGGAUUAAAAAAGUUUUAAAUAACUUUCA
This 240-nucleotide unclassified non-coding RNA is filed under the name soil metagenome. Its description in RNAcentral is "partial contains 5.8S ribosomal RNA, internal transcribed spacer 2, and large subunit ribosomal RNA". The record is from RNAcentral.